Long non-coding RNA from Serinus canaria (Common canary), 1922 nucleotides. RefSeq lists it as uncharacterized. NCBI's taxonomy places the organism in Eukaryota, Metazoa, Chordata, Aves, Passeriformes, Fringillidae. The record is from RefSeq and is a predicted model, not a curated record. The transcript is spliced from 2 exons.
UUUCCCCCAGGCCCCACCUCAGCUUCUCCUCCGCCGCUCUCCCCUCACAAUUUCCCGCCUCUGCCGCGUGCGCGGGCUCCCAGCCAAUAGCGGCGCGUCUCGCCGAACCGACCAAUCACCGCGCUGCACGUCCCCUACCAACCAUUCACAGCGCGGCUCCCCUCAGCAAAGCCCGCCUUCCGGAAGCGGCGCCCCGUUCCCCGCCGCCGCCGGGACCCCGCCGGGCUCGGGACAGGUGCCAAGCUGUUCCAUGGCCCGCACUCGAACCCGAUGGUGUUCUGGGCUGUGUGCCAGGGUCUCUGAGCCCCCUGGCAAGGGUCCCAGGAAACUCCAGACUCCCAGAGGGAUGUCCUGAGUUCCCACAUCUCCCCCUUCUGUUUGCACCAAGAAGACCUCUUUGACAACCUGGCUCACAACCCGCCGUAUACACAAAGGAAUGCAUGGCAUAAUGAACAAGAGAACUAAAAGCCCUACUAAAAUAUAACAAGCUAUCAUCUAACAACAAUUUUACAACACUACUGAUUCCCACACCCAUGAAGUGACCCAAAGUCCACAGUCUUCUGUGGGCAAAGCACAAGGGUUGGAAUCUCUGUGCAGUCCACAUCUGUACAUCUUCUUUUCUGCUUAUGGAAUGGUCAGCAUUUUCUUGCCUGCGCUUCUUGUCAACAUUGUCUUGCACUGGAUGGAGUGUCGUGGUUUGAAGGGAAAUGAAGUUUUUGUGAUGGUGUGGGCAAGCCAAUCAGUGUUCAGAUUUAAUAUUGGCACCUGGUUUGUCCACUGAGGGCAUGGAUACGCCUCUGAGAACACAGGGGUUAAAAGCUGUGAUCUCCCAGGGGAACUUCCUCUUGGAGUCCCGCUCGAGAGUGAGCAGACCCCCCCCUCUGCCCGGCCGAGCUGGGCGGGGGGGGAGGGGAGCCAUGUGGCCGGAGGGAGAGGUAGGACAGGCCUGGGCCCAAGGGUGGAGGAGAACAUUGCAAGGGCUUCGGGCAGCCAUCCUCCAUUCCCCCCCCUCACCCCGGAGAGAGGGAGAGAGACAGAGCCGGCACCGGUGAUAGUGGCCUGGCGUGAAGGAGAAGGGGGGGGUGCCCAGCAGGGCAGCCAAGCGUGGGAGUUCAUGGAGCAAACCGGCAGAGCCUGGGACUUUUAACCCUUCUGGGGAGGAUAUGGAAACCUUGCAAAUGCUGAUUCCUCCUGAAGUUGAUGAGAUUGAGAGGAUGUUGAGAAGAAUCCUAGGUGGGAGGAGAUGAUGGAGUGGCCUUUGGCUGGACUUUUCUUGUAUAGCCACAGCAGAACCCUUUGUGUUCCUGUGACACAGAGACUGCAUUCUAGGGGGAGGCGAUGGCUCAGAGCCAAGAGAGUGCAGUGAUGUGGAGGAGUGUGAACAGAGACGACGGGUGAGGAGGGUGGUGGUGGUGCCCUCUGCUUCGAAGAAGAGGAAGAGGAAGAUGAUCUCUGUUCAAGAGGCCCCUCGGCCCCAGGGGGUGAAAUUUGGGGGGCACAGGUGUCCCAAAAGGAGAGGGACUGUGCUCUUUUUGGAACUGGACAAAGUAUCCUUAAAGGGAAAAACCCUAGAAGCAGCUCUGAUCCAUGUGCAGUGGUGAGAGCACUGGACAUGGAAGGAAGAAGUCACGAUGGCAAAAUGUUCUCCGGGCGGUGCCACAUGUGACACGGAAACACGAGAAGUUUCGACUGUUUCCUGGGGAAGUCUGUGGUGCAAGAGGGACUUCUCUCUUCUCGAGGAAUUGAGAACUGAUUAUCUAAAGGGUGGAUUUGGUGAUAAUGGAAUUGGAAAUCUAGGUGGGGGGAGGAGGAAGAAAUUUGGAAGGUUUUCAUCUUGGGUUCUAUGUGUUUUGUGUGUUUUUCCUUAGUGUUUUCCUUUGUAGUUUUAGGUUAAUAAAGUUUUUUUUUCCCUUAAACCUCAA